Long non-coding RNA from Papaver somniferum (opium poppy), 3115 nucleotides. RefSeq lists it as uncharacterized. The transcript is spliced from 18 exons. NCBI's taxonomy places the organism in Eukaryota, Viridiplantae, Streptophyta, Magnoliopsida, Ranunculales, Papaveraceae. The record is from RefSeq and is a predicted model, not a curated record.
UCCAUGUUCUUCAGAUGUUGGUGAUUUUAGAAAUUGAAAUCGAGACUUUUGAGAUCGAACGAGGUAGGGAAUGGUCAAGGGUUAUCUGAUAGAGGUGGUGAUGAUACGACUAUCGUAUUCAGAGUUCACGGAAAAGUUUGCACGCAGGAUCCUGAGGGACUCUUCUCUUGCAUUCUUGGUCAUGAGGCCGCUGGGGUUGGUGAGAGUGUUGGUGAAGGAGUUACUGAAGUUCAACCUGGGGACCAUGUUAUCCCUUGUUACCAAGCAGAAUGCAAGGAAUGCAAGUUCUGUAAAUCAGGAAAGACAAAUCUCUGUGGCAAAGUCCUGUCUGCUACUGGAGUUGGCGUUAUGAUGAGUGAUCGCCAGAGUCAUUUCUCAGUGAAUGGAAAACCCAUCUAUCAUUAUGGAGAAGAAGAUAAGAGUGCCACGUAAGCAGUGUCACGUGGGCCUUGCCACGUACGCACUGGGUGAUGACGUAUAAAGAGUCAUAGUAGCUGGUUGGGUCGAAAUAACCGAUUCAAAGAACUAUCUUGUCAUUUUAAGUGCACCUAACGGUGCUAACUUUCCAUCCAUCACUUUUGGUCAAAACUUGCCUACUUUAGCAAUAAAUAAAAAAAGUGGCCUAGAAAUGAAAAGCACCAAAAAAACGGGCCUAUUUUUGUGAAAAACCCUAUUUUUUUUUGGGUCUCCCCCUAAGUUCCCCUUGCAUUUACUGAUUUGGUUUUCAAAUCUGCAAACUCGUCUGGGUGAUGGCCUUCAAGUAAAAGUCGACAAGCUUUCAUCUGCUAUGACUACUAUUUUCUGAAAUACUCUAAUUCCACAUAAAAAUAUGAACAGCGCUGAAAAUUUAGGAGAGGCGGUGAUAGGAUUGAGAACUCGGUUUACACUUUCAGCAUGAGGGAAUACUAAUUUUGAUGCUGAUGCUGCAAAGAAUUUUAAGGAGAAAACCGAUGAUGAGUAGUAAGUAGGGAUUUUGGACAACCUUCCACUUGCAGUCCUUAGACCAAGGAGGGAUGGAACACAGGCCACCAGUUGCGAACAUGGUUUCUGCAUUGGUUUUAAAAGAAACUACGCUGGGGGCAAAGAUGGAAAAUAUUACAUUAUUAACCACCUUAUCUUCAGAGUCACGUACCACAUGCGCAUGGAUCCUGAGACUGAUGUGGCCCGAAUUGUUGGUUUCAAGGUUACUCCAAACAGUGCAACAUUAAGGACGAACUUACUUGCAAAGUGGCAUAGCAUAUGAAGCUGGAUGCCGAGGCUUCAAAGAGUUUUAAAGAGAAAAUCGAUAGUGAGUACCGCAUAAACAUGAACAGUGCUGAAAAUUUAGGCGAGGCUCUUCGAGGUGAUCGGAUUUAGAACUCCAUUUACACAAGCAAAGAUGAAAAUAUUUCAUCAAUAACCACCUCCGCUUCAACGCCAUUUAUUACAUGGAUCCCGAGACUGAUAUGGCACGCAUUGUUGGUUUCAAGAUAACUCCAAAGAGGGUAUGACAAGUCAGUGGUUUUUGGAGUAUUCAGGAUCAUAUAUCUGCUGCAGCAAUAGACCAAGGUUCUGCAAAAUCGCCAGGGUAAAAAAACACCCUCUAAAGCUGCUGGUGAAAAUGCUUCUUAGAGCCCUUGUAUUGGACCACUUGGUAUCUACCAAGGGCAUAACGUCACUGUUGAAGAUGUGCGGUUUUUUCCAUUAAGUACUCAAGAGUUCUCUAGUGUGGGUGAUGAUUCUUGCCUUAUUCUAUGGGAGCUAAUACCGGCACAAGUCCAACUGUCAAGGUUGAAAAGGCUCACAAUGCUGAUCUGCACUGUGUGGAUUGCCAUGACGAAAACCUUAUUUUGACCGGGGUGAUGGCCCUCAAGUAGAAGUCAACAAGCUUUCAUCUACAAAGACGCAACUUCCCUAUGACUACUAUAUUCUCAGAUAUUGUAAAAAUUAUGAACAGUGCUGAAAUUUUGGAGGGGCUCUCUGAGGUGAUCGGUAUUAGGAGUCCAUUUACACAUUCGUACUUGCAAAGUUUGCAUGCCAUAUGAAGCUUGAUGCCGAGGCUUCAAAGAGUUUUAAGGAGAAAAUCGAUGAUGAGUACCGAGCAAACAUUGCAAAGAUGAAAAUAUUUCAUCAAUAACCACCUCAGCUUCAACGUCAUUUAUCACAUGGAUUCCGAGACUGAUAUGGCCCACAUCACUGGUCUCGAGGUUACUGCAUACAGUUCUCACUGUUUCUGAAAGAUUAUCAUGAAAGGAAGAGAAGAGUGCUCAAUUAGUUACACGCAAUCCAACCACCAAAGUCAUGCCAUAAGGUACUUCUCUUUUCACACGUUCUGCUCGUAUCUGUUCCAUUAGUUUUUGUUGGUAGUUACUUGGGAUUCAAAAGCCAGCAAUCGAGGAUCCCGUCAAGACAAACAAGGUUCCAAGAGAAAUACAUGAAGCCAGUUUUUCCUGUUGUUAUUGGAGGAAUACUUCCAUAUGAUGCAGUCUCCAUUGAACUUUUCUUCAUCUUGACACCAAUAUGGCUCAACCAAUUCUGCUACAUCUUUGGUUUUGUGUUCGUCUUUGUUUUCCUUCUGGUCACUUGUGCGGAGAUAACGAUCGUGCUCAGUUACUUCCAGCUCUGCUGUGAAGACAAAUAUUUUUGGUGGAGGGCUUAUUUGACAUAUGGUUCAUCCACGGUUUACCUCUUCGUCUGCCAGGUCUUUCACCUCGAGCUGGAAAUAACCAAAUUGGAAGAUCUACUCUGAAGAUUAGCUGACGACGUGAAAGCAGGUCCGAAAUUUUGAUUUUGAUGCGUGAGAGUGAGAGAGGUGGAUAAAAUUAAAGAAAAAUGAAACUGAAGUUCAGUAGAGUAAGCUUCGAGUUGAUUUUGAUGAUGAUCUACAACAAUGUUAAUGCAGCACGAACCCAAAAUCAUAAUAAGAAGAUGAGAUCAAGAUGAGAUCAUAAGCGGAAAGAGUAAAGAAGAUGAAGAUUCUGUAGAAGAGGAUGAGAAUUUGGAGUUGGGAAAAAUGCAGUAAUUUUCAUUUAAACCCUUACUUUCUUUAUGAAAUUUUGAUGAUUCUCUGUGCUUUUGAUUCUUUAAAUUAUGAAAUGUGACACGACUCGUUGGAAUAGAAAUGUUCUUUGCCUCA